This 450-nucleotide ribosomal RNA is filed under the name uncultured bacterium. RNAcentral's name for it is "partial 16S ribosomal RNA". It matches the Rfam family "Bacterial small subunit ribosomal RNA", at positions 354 to 796 of the family's 1533-position model. The record is from RNAcentral.
GUGGGGAAUCUUCCGCAAUGGACGAAAGUCUGACGGAGCAACGCCGCGUGAGUGAUGAAGGUCUUCGGAUUGUAAAGCUCUGUUAAUCGGGACGAAAGAGCCUAGUGUGAAUAAUGCUAGGAAGUGACGGUACCGGAAUAGAAAGCCACGGCUAACUACGUGCCAGCAGCCGCGGUAAUACGUAGGUGGCAAGCGUUGUCCGGAAUUAUUGGGCGUAAAGCGCGCGCAGGCGGAUCUGCCAGUCUGUCUUAAAAGUUCGGGGCUUAACCCCGUGAUGGGAUGGAAACUACAGAUCUAGAGUAUCGGAGAGGAAAGUGGAAUUCCUAGUGUAGCGGUGAAAUGCGUAGAUAUUAGGAAGAACACCAGUGGCGAAGGCGACUUUCUGGACGAUGUCUGACGCUGAGGCGCGAAAGCUAGGGGAGCGAACGGGAUUAGAUACCCCGGUAGUCC